This is a long non-coding RNA of Panicum virgatum (switchgrass), 5042 nucleotides long. RefSeq lists it as uncharacterized. The transcript has 2 exons. The record is from RefSeq and is a predicted model, not a curated record. NCBI's taxonomy places the organism in Eukaryota, Viridiplantae, Streptophyta, Magnoliopsida, Poales, Poaceae.
AAGCCUUCUCCUCUCUAGUCGCAACCGUGUCCGGCGGCCGGCGCUCAGGGCGCCGCCGCCGGCGAAGUGCGCAAAUGCUGUGCUAGGAACACGCCGCCACGCCAAUGCUGCGCGUUCGUGCCCCAGCCGCCGUGGUCGAGUACCAGUCCUUCGCAGCUCUCGCGGUGCUCGUCGCGACGGGCGAGGAGCCUUGCCGCAGUCGGGCGGCCAGGAGCUCGUGCUCCUUGGUUGGUCCAGCGGCAGCAAUCAGCCUCAGAUUUUCCGCGACCGUGGAGUCCGCGAGCUGUCUCGGGUGCCGUGGACGACGCCAUGGGGGAUCUAUCUCCGGUGGACACCAAGGUUUAUACGUUCGGCUGAUCCUUUCCCCUAUGCAACUUCAUUUGGGUCGUUGGGGCCUUGGGGGUGGGUGGGAUUUAUCACCAUUCCCAUCUCUGAAUGCUACUUCAAUCAUUAUUUAUGCUCAGUCACUACUUUUGUUGCAAAUCCAAAGCUUGAACUUUGAAGAAGUAAAAUUAGGACCUAAUGAUUUGCUUCUGAGAUGUCUAAUUGAGUGAUCCAACAGAUGAGGUGUCUUGAAGGUUUCUGCUGAGAUCAAGUCCAUGCAAAUAAUAGUGAAAGAAAUGACCUUUGACUCAUGGAUGGUGCCGCCAUUUCAUUUUUCUGUUAGUCUACUAGCAGCCUAGGCUGAAGCGUGCUGCUCAGGAGUGCAAUGACACAUUGAGAAGUUGCAAGCAACGCACCCAGGAAGAGGAAGAAACAAGGCAGAGAGUGAACAGUUCCUCAUUUGCCAAACGCAUUGCUCACGCUUCCAAGUUGCUCUUCUCAUCAUUUGUUGGAUCCAGUAAUGAUGAGCUGAGAUGUAUCUUGACUUAUAUCCGAAGAUUCGACAGACUUGUAGAUGGUGCAGAUGAAUUCCUGAAGCUCUUUUAAUUCGGAAGGACCCCAUGACAGCACGUUUUCUUCAACCAUAUCAUCACCUUACAGUUAUAGGGGAGUUUCUCAGGUAUCAAGCAUUGCACAGUAGCAAGUUUUACUACAUUAUUCUACAACCUAUCAGCAUUGCAGAGUGUGGAGGAAAUACUAAGUUUUUCUCCCCAAGACUUAAAUGAGCCUACAAAGAUUUCCAGUUUAGGAUUCAUGUUACAUCUCUGAUCUCUCUGGUAGUACUGACAUACUUGGUGUCAUAGUAAAGUGCAUGCAGGAAGUUGGACAUCACUUCAAGCUUGCAGGUGAAGAUGUCAGUAGAGAACUCAGCAUCACUAAUGCAUUCCAGAUAAAAGAUGCUACCGGAUAAAUGAAAAAGCUUAUGACCUGAGAGUCAAGUUUGUCACACAUUCAGCACGUCUGAUUUUAAUUUCAAGCUCGAUGUGAUGAAUUUUUGUGAAUAAGGAUCAAGGAUCAUAUUUGUACUACGAGGUACAAAAUGAACUUUAUCUUCAGGUAAUGUCCUUCAGAAGGAUUUCACCAUAGAGCAGUUACUAGCAUGGCUUGAGCCUAUCACCAUAUCGAUCAUGCAUCUAUUCACUGCACAAGAUUAUUUUCAUCAUAAUUCUAUUGUAAUUUAUGUAGUUGAUCCAGCUUCCAGUCAUGUAGAUUUUAAGAUUUUUGCUAACAGCAAACUGAACUUUCCUUUUCAUUUAACACUGGUUGACAGAUUUCAGUAGUCAUUGCAACUUUGAUAGGUCUUUAAGAGCAUGAAGUUCACCUUGUCCCCAUGUACCUUCUCAAAACGAACUAAAGGACCAUCUCGUGUUUUCCAGUUGCAACCAUCUAGAAAUUGUCAAUCUUAGGUCACACGUACCAUAACUGCAUGAAGAAUAUAUAUGCUUCUUCAAUGUCUGAAAGAAGAAAAAACCUAGCUGACCAUUUUCCACAUGUGUUGUCCAAUGUCUGUGUGCAUGUUUAUGUGCAUUGCACCCAUUGUAUUUGUUAGCGAGUACUUUAGCCUGGCCCUAUAGGGCGUUGGUAGCAGGCAGCGCCGGGUCGCCUGCCCUCUGGACGUGCGCCUCCGGCCUUGCCCUUCAGGGGAUGCAUAGAUGGAUACGGAUUCGGAAAGGAUCUCCUUCGGUUAGGUCUAUAUAUGUACACAAGCUUUGCCUCUCCAUAAUCAAUCUAUUAUUUUCCCAAGCCAUAUUUGCUUUCAGUAUUUACGCAUAACAUGGAUUACUUCUCAAUAUAGUGAUGGGCAGCCCUCCUGCCCGUUUAAAGAAAAAAAAGUUCUAUGGUACUGCAUCUCAAGUCUUAAUUAAAAUCCAGCGGCCUAUGAAAUAUUCAAAAGGAACUGAUUGAGCCUAAUAAUUCAAAUCCUUCCUUUUAACUAAAUCCCCUUCCUUUUCUAAUGAAGUCUAACAUUCUUGCUAGUGACACUUUCCUUUGACUUUCAUCUUCCUCCUAGAUUCUUAGACACCCUAUUUAAUUUUCUAUGAUCAGCUUACAUCUUCUGGUUAUAAAGAUAACAAACAUUGAUACCUGCUAAUGAGCAUGAUCUUGCACUCAACUAAAUCUUCACCUCUGCCCUACCAGCAACUACUACAACCACGGUAAUUCAUUAAUCUUUUCUAGCAAUACAUGUGCUCCCAGAUUCACUCAUGUAUGUUGAUUUAUUAAGAGUAAUGUUAAUCCUCUUCCAAGUGCAGAUUUUUCGUACAUUGUUGAGCCCAUCAUGACAGAGAUGGUGACUUCUUCCAAGUUCCUCUUCCACUACUGUGUAGAUGAAAUGUUUUCAAACUGCAAUUUCCCUAUCGUUGAUAGUUACUGAUAGAGAUUGAAAUCACGCAAAAUGAUCAAUGCAUUCAACUGAGAAUUUAGGAUUACAUAUAUAGCCCAGGAUCAAGGCAAUCUCAACCACCUUGUUUAUAGAAACAGAAUCAAGGGGGGAGAUUACCGAUAUGGGCCGAUGUGUGAUUAACGCAAGCAACAAGCCAGGCAACAGCCGUGGUGUGCAAGCCUAGCUAGGUUGCUAACACCACACUAACACCUCCAUUUUCACAUGACUUGACACACCUCUUCGUCUUUUUUUUCCACAUGAUAGCGUUGUUGGCCAAAUAUAUUCAAACAUGUAGUGAAGUGGAAACUCUCAUCAUUGACUUAAGGCCGUCUUAAUACUAAACAAUAUCCCUUGGAGAGACCAAAGCUAAACCCCCCACUAUUGAAGUCGUCUAACGUGGCCAUCACUUUCUUCUCACUCUUUAAGUUCUCAAUCUUUCCCUUGCAGUAAGCAGGUUUACUCUCAAGAGUACACUGGAUAGCUGCCUACCUCCUCCAUGCCAUUCAAUUAAAGGGAAGGAACACUGCUUGAACUCUAAUGGCAAAGAUAGUCUGUUCUGCAAUUGUCGAGGAGACUGUUAGCCAAAUCCUAUCUGGUCUUGUUCAAAAAUAUGAGGUGAAAGAGGAAUCAAAUUCGAGCAGAAACUUGGAGAGGCUAGAGAUGGCACACAUCAAGAUGGAAUCUGUGCUCCACAUGACCGACAAAUGGCAAAUCACCAAUGUGCCACUGCUACGGUGGCGGAGCAAGCUGAAGCGUGCUGCCCAGGAGUGUGGUGAUACGUUGCAAAGGCGCAAGCAGCGUGCCAUAGAAGAGCAACAGAUCAGGCAGCGCGUGAGCCAGUUAUCAUAUCCCAAGCGGAUUGCUUAUGCUACCAAGUCAUUCAUCUCAUCUAUUACUCAAUCUAGUAAUGACGAGUCAAGAAGUAGUUCUACUGAUGUUGUUCAAAGAUUUGAGAGGUUUGCAGAUGGAGCAAAUGAAUUCCUUAAAUUUGUUGAGUUCAGUGGAACCCCACGGCAGUACAUGUUCUUCAACCAUUUCAUCAGCAAACUUCUUAGAGGGAAUUCUCUUAGGUACCAAGCAUUCCAAGGAAGCAGAUUUUACUUCUUAGGCAUACGACCCAUGAGCUCUCCGGAUCGUGGAGUAGAGGCGAUGGUAGGCUUUGUUUGCCAUGACUUCAGGGAGCUUACAAAGGGUUUCAGGCUAGGACUCAUGCUACGUCUUUCUGAAAGUACAGAUGUAUUUGGUGUUAUAAUCAAGUGCAUGCAGUCAGUCGCACCUCACUUCAAGUUUGCAGCUGAAGGUGUCAAGAGAGAGCUCAUCCAGUUGCCUACCCAUGAUUUCUUGGGUAACACAAUCUCCUUAUGGUGAAAGUGUAUCCUGGUUCAAUGUCCACAAAACUUUGACUCGAUGGUUUCGUCCAAACCCUCUCUGCUGCAAUCAGCAUGAGCAGAAUUUGAGCGUUUCAUCUAUUACCAACAAGACAUCAGCUUCAUCGUCGAGACUAUUGUCAAGUAUAUUUCCAGAGGAGGUUAUUGCAAUGAUUUUGCAGUGCCAUGUCUCACUAUCUGAUGAUCAUAAAUACAUUCAAAGUUCUGGUGUUGAAUGCAAAGGAAGUAGUUCAGUGAAUUCAGAUAUGCCUCCCUUAAAGCUAAAAGUUUUGUUCUUACCACAUGACUCCCUAGAGGAUAUAGAGCCUGAAACAGAGCUAUGCCUUGGAAGUGAUUGGUGAAGAGGUGCAGGAAAUGGUUCACAAGAAUGCGUGCCUACAAGAUAUCAAUGAGAAGUUGCUGCCAAAAGCCAUAGAUUACCUCUAUCAAAACAAAGAGUCAAGGAUGUAUCAAAUGUGUCUGAAGUCUAGACAUGGCACAGCGAACCUUUGUGUGGAGAAGACAAGAAAGCGUCGAAGUAAAGCCUCCAGAUCACGGAUUUGGGAUAAAACUGUUGUCCAACAGCGAGAUAAUUACAGCAUUGCAGGAUGGAAGAAGGUGGCCAAAGACGACCUACUUAAGCUUUGGGUUGUGCGUUCAUCUGACAAGAUGGAAGGCUCUAUCUGAUCCUGCGCCGGCCAUGCAUAACUUGAUGGGUCAGCACAAGUGAAAAAUAUAGCUGAUCAUUUCCACAUGUGUAUGUCUAAUGUCUGUGACCCUGUUUAUGUGCAUUGCAUCUUGUACUUGUCCAUGUCAUGUAAGAACUCUCUAUAUGGUGUAAUCUGCUUUGUGAUUUACUUUCCGCACGAUUAUUGUGCUUCCAUCAUCUACCAAGAUCUGUUACUCGA